UCGGUCGGAUGAAGCCCUUGUCUACCAGCUCUUGCAACUGCUCUUUCAAUUCUUUCAACUCAGCUGGAGCCAUCCUGUAGGGAGGGAUAGAGAUCGGUCGGGUUCCAGGCAUCAAUUCUAUCUCGAACUCUAUCUCCCUAGCAGGUGGUAAACCUGGCAGCUCGUCUGGGAAGACGUCUAGAAACUCUCUAACCACUGGCACCGAGGCGGGCUCUCUAGCCUGACUGCUAAGCUCUCUCACAUGAGCCAAAUACCCCUGACAUCCCUUCCUAAGCAACCUACGAGCCUGAAGAGCAGAUAUCAGACCUCUAGGUGUACCCCUCCUGUCUCCCCUGAAGACAACCUCUGACCCA
This 353-nucleotide long non-coding RNA is filed under the name Manihot esculenta (cassava). RNAcentral's name for it is "long non-coding RNA (MESC_LNC011247)". The record is from RNAcentral. Lineage: Eukaryota; Viridiplantae; Streptophyta; Magnoliopsida; Malpighiales; Euphorbiaceae.